CGGUAAUACGGAGGGUGCAAGCGUUACUCGGAACCACUGGGCGUAAAGCGCGCGCAGGCGGUCUAUUAAGUUGGAUGUGAAAGCCUACGGCUCAACCGUAGAACUGCAUCCAAAACUAUUAGACUAGAGUGUGGGAGAGGAAGAUGGAAUUAGUUGUGUAGGGGUAAAAUCCGUAGAGAUAACUAGGAAUACCAAAAGCGAAGGCAAUCUUCUGGAACACUACUGACGCUGAGGCGCGAAAGCGUGGGGAGCAAACAGGAUUAGAUACCCUGGUAGUCCACGCAGUAAACGAUGAAUGUUAGUCGUCGGGGGCCUAGUGUCUUCGGUGAUGCAGCUAACGCAUUAAACAUUCCGCCUGGGGAGUACGGUCGCAAGAUUAAAACUCAAAGGAAUAGACGGGGACCCGCACAAGUGGUGGAGCAUGUGGUUUAAUUCGAAGAUACGCGAAGAACCUUACCUAGCCUUGACAUAUUUGAAAAUCCACCAGAGAUGGAGGAGUGCCUUCGGGAGUUCAUAUACAGGUGCUGCACGGCUGUCGUCAGCUCGUGUCGUGAGAUGUUGGGUUAAGUCCCGCAACGAGCGCAACCCUCGUCACUAGUUACUAACGAUUCGGUCGAGGACUCUAGUGAGACUGCCUUCGCAAGAAGGAGGAAGGUGAGGACGACGUCAAGUCAUCAUGGCCCUUACGGCUAGGGCAACACACGUGCUACAAUGGCCAGGACAGUGAGAAGCGAUACCGCGAGGUGGAGCAAAUCUAUAAACCUGGUCUCAGUUCGGAUUGUAGUCUGCAACUCGACUACAUGAAGCUGGAAUCACUAGUAAUCGUAGAUCAGCUAUGCUACGGUGAAUACGUUCCCGGG
This 860-nucleotide ribosomal RNA is filed under the name uncultured bacterium. Its description in RNAcentral is "bacterial SSU rRNA". It matches the Rfam family "Bacterial small subunit ribosomal RNA", at positions 518 to 1378 of the family's 1533-position model. The record is from RNAcentral.